RNAcentral lists this ribosomal RNA (501 nucleotides) under uncultured bacterium. Its description in RNAcentral is "partial 16S ribosomal RNA". It matches the Rfam family "Bacterial small subunit ribosomal RNA", at positions 899 to 1397 of the family's 1533-position model. The record is from RNAcentral.
ACUCAAAUGAAUUGACGGGGACCCGCACAAGCGGUGGAGCAUGUGGAUUAAUUCGAUACUAACCGAAGAACCUUACCCAGACUUGACAUCGAUUGAAAGGCCGAGAAAUCGGUCCCUCCCUCACAAGGGGACAUGAAGACACUUGUUGCAUGGCUGUCGUCAGCUCGUGCCGUGAGGUGUACGGUUAAGUCCGCCAACGAGCGCAACCCACGUCCUGUGUUACCAGCGAGAGAGUCGGGCACUCACAGGAGACCGCCGGUGUAAGCCGGAGGAAGGUGUGGAUGACGUCAAGUCAGCAUGGCAGUUACGUCUGGGGCUUCACACAUGCUACAAUGGGCGCAACAAAGGGCCGCGAUACCGUGAGGUGGAGCCAAUCCCAAAAAUACGCCCCCAGUUCAGAUUGUAGUCUGCAACUCGACUACAUGAAGGCGGAAUCGCUAGUAAACGCAGGUCAGCUAUACUGCGUUGAAUACGUUCCCGGGUCUUGUACACACCGCCCGU